CGAAAUUGGUAGACGCUACGGACUUAAAAUCCGUCGACUUUCGAAAUCGUGAGGGUUCAAGUCCCUCUAUCCCCA
RNAcentral lists this transfer RNA (75 nucleotides) under Melicope elleryana. RNAcentral describes it as "tRNA-Leu". It matches the Rfam family "tRNA", at positions 11 to 71 of the family's 71-position model. Rfam says of the family: Transfer RNA (tRNA) molecules are approximately 80 nucleotides in length. Their secondary structure includes four short double-helical elements and three loops (D, anti-codon, and T loops). Lineage: Eukaryota; Viridiplantae; Streptophyta; Magnoliopsida; Sapindales; Rutaceae. The record is from RNAcentral.